GUCGCCGUCAGUGCUGGCCGGCUUCGGCAAGUGCACGUCGGUGACUUUCAUCCAAUACCCUGUGAACCUUUGGCCUCUUGCUAGCUUCGGCCGGCAGAGGAWUUUUACACAAACUCGAAUGUAAUGAAAUUUAUUGUCGUGCGCAAGCACUAAUGUACAACUUUCAACAACGGAUCUCUUGGCUCUCGCAUCGAUGAAGAACGCAGCGAAAUGCGAUAAGUAAUGUGAAUUGCAGAAUUCAGUGAAUCAUCGAAUCUUUGAACGCACCUUGCACCCUUUGGCAUUCCGAAGGGUAUGCUCGUUUGAGUGUCAUUGUACUCUCACUCUCCCGAUGCUUUUGGAUCGGGAGUGGUGGACUUGGGUGUUGCUGCUUCACUGUGGCUCGCCUCAAAUGGAGUAGUGCAACUCUUGGUUGGACAUAGUACGGCGUGAUAAGUGUCUUCGCCGGCGCCUCACUAGAGGGUGGCCGAUCGGGAGCUCUGUGCUUCAAACCGUCUUCGGACAACAUCUGACAACUUGACCUCAAAUCGAGUAGGACUACCCGCUGAACUUAAGCAUAUCAAUA
RNAcentral lists this ribosomal RNA (565 nucleotides) under uncultured Sebacina. RNAcentral describes it as "eukaryotic LSU rRNA". The stretch from base 159 to 312 matches the Rfam family "5.8S ribosomal RNA". Lineage: Eukaryota; Fungi; Basidiomycota; Agaricomycetes; Sebacinales; Sebacinaceae. The record is from RNAcentral.